ACCAUCAUCGUCUAGUGGUUUAGGAUACCAGAUUUUCAUAGACACGCACACACACACGUGAUGAAUUCUCUGGGGACCGGAGUUCGAACCUCCGUGAUGGUG
This is a non-coding RNA of Xylaria intraflava, 102 nucleotides long. The record is from the annotation of a GenBank genome assembly. NCBI's taxonomy places the organism in Eukaryota, Fungi, Ascomycota, Sordariomycetes, Xylariales, Xylariaceae.